AUUCUACUCCCUCCGUUGCACAAUACAUGCCUUCUAUUUGUCAAAAUAUAUAUGUAUCUAGACAUGUUUUAGUAUAUAGGCACAUCCAUUUUUGGAUAAAUGGAAGUCAAGUAUUUUGGAACGGAGGGAGUACACA
Molecule: non-coding RNA, 136 nt
Organism: Triticum aestivum (bread wheat)
Lineage: Eukaryota; Viridiplantae; Streptophyta; Magnoliopsida; Poales; Poaceae
Source: Rfam